GUGGGGAAUAUUGGACAAUGGGGGCAACCCUGAUCCAGCAAUGCCGCGUGUGUGAAGAAGGCCUGAGGGUUGUAAAGCACUUUCAGUGGGGAGGAGGAUUGACAGGUUAAGAGCUAGUUAAUUGGACGUUACCCACAGAAGAAGCACCGGCUAACUCCGUGCCAGCAGCCGCGGUAAUACGGAGGGUGCAAGCGUUAAUCGGAAUUACUGGGCGUAAAGGGUGCGUAGGUGGUUGUAUAAGUUAACUGUGAAAUCCCCGGGCUCAACCUGGGCAGGUCAGUUAAGACUGUAUGACUCGAGUAUGGGAGAGGGUAGUGGAAUUUCCGGUGUAGCGGUGAAAUGCGUAGAGAUCGGAAGGAACACCAGUGGCGAAGGCGGCUACCUGGCCCAAUACUGACACUGAGGCACGAAAGCGUGGGGAUCGAACAGGAUUAGAUACCCUUGUAGUCC
This 450-nucleotide ribosomal RNA is filed under the name uncultured bacterium. RNAcentral's name for it is "partial 16S ribosomal RNA". It matches the Rfam family "Bacterial small subunit ribosomal RNA", at positions 354 to 796 of the family's 1533-position model. The record is from RNAcentral.